RNAcentral lists this long non-coding RNA (1250 nucleotides) under Cricetulus griseus (Chinese hamster). RNAcentral's name for it is "lncRNA (ENSCGRG00015011257.2)". Lineage: Eukaryota; Metazoa; Chordata; Mammalia; Rodentia; Cricetidae. The record is from RNAcentral.
GCAAGAAGGAAGUGGGCCCCUUCUCUCUUCCUCCUGGUCUCUGCUCUGGAGUCGCCAUGUGAUCCACCAGAAAGAGAGGGCACCAGCAGAAGGCAUCCUCUAUAAGAUAAAUCUUAUAAAAUAUAUAUAUUUAUGAUAAUUAAGACUGAGCCAGCAGAUGAGAAAUCCUAGCUAUUGGGCAAGCAGCAUUUGUACCAAAUAUAAGUCUCUGUAUAUUAUUUUGGGCCCUAACUAGGCGGGCAGAACUUGGGUGGCUGGUGGAAAGCGCCCACAUGGCAGUAGGGCUCAGGUGGCUUUUGGCAAAAAGAUUUAUCAUAACACAAGAUGAGAGUAGUGGCAAGCUAGUUAAACCCUCAUGUAUGCAAACAGUGUGCUGAAAACUAAACGUCAAAUGUGUCCACUUAUGCAAACAGUUAUUUCUAAUUAUAUAUGUGUGUACCUCUUCUGGACAUAGUGAAAUGGCAGCGACACUCGGGAAAAUGUUUCAGAAUCCAGGGAAUCAGUUAUUAGGAACUUUCAGAUAUAGGCAACAAGAAACUUAACUCAAAUUACUUUUAAAAAUUCAUUGUCUAGAAAGACUGCAAAAGAUACUUCUGAGAUUUUAGAAUUGAAGGGAGGAAGUAAGUAGAGGGCAGAGGAAAGGGUCCCUGAAGGGAGAAGAGAGAGUGAAGAAGCAGGGCAGCACAGGCAAGAGCGGCAUAGAUGUGGGGUCUGCAAGCUUAGAGGCUCUGGAUGAAGGAUUCUCCCUUCAUCUUCUUCUGUCUCAUCCAGAUUCUCCCUUGUCUAGGACAUGGGGUAUCCUGUGCUUCCGGGGUGCUACAGAAAGGACUUCACCUAGUAGAGACAUAUGCCCACUGAUGGAUAAUCCAGGUUGCCUGUGGAUGAAGUGCAAUGCUCUGCCAUGUCCUUCAGCAUGAGGAAUGGAAAAAAGUCUCAAUUUCUGCAGAGUAUACAUUGGACAGGGAAGUGCAUGUGGCCUUGCAAACUGAAGAAUUCAGCUGCUGAAAUCUGUUCCAAGAAGUAGAGACUGCAUUUGGAGGGUGUGGCUUGCGGGUUUCACUUACUGUUGAAAUAGAGGAUGACUUCCAAAAAACUGACAGGAGCACAGAGCCUGUGUCAUCUCCAUUCCCAGUGAUUUCUCUUUGAUUGAUGUGCCAUUAAUGCUUUAAUUGGCAACAGGUGCGGAUGAUUGCUGUUUCCUAUGCUGAGAAAUGUGAAAUUGAACAUAAGGUUCUGAUAAAUUAAUAAAC